Molecule: unclassified non-coding RNA, 379 nt
Filed under: uncultured Gemmatimonadota bacterium
Lineage: Bacteria; Pseudomonadati; Gemmatimonadota
Description: uncultured Gemmatimonadetes bacterium contains 16S-23S intergenic spacer region
Source: RNAcentral
UCCGGCUUAACGCCGGCAGUCCCCCCAGAGUCCCCGGCCGAACCGCUGGCAACUGGGAGCGAGGGUUGCGCUCGUUGCGGGACUUAACCCAACAUCUCACGACACGAGCUGACGACAGCCAUGCAGCACCUGUGCUGGUGCUCCGAAGAGGGACCGAUGUUUCCACCGGUUUUCACCAGCAUGUCAAGCCCAGGUAAGGUUCUUCGCGUUGCGUCGAAUUAAACCACAUGCUCCACCGCUUGUGCGGGCCCCCGUCAAUUCCUUUGAGUUUCAGCCUUGCGGCCGUACUCCCCAGGCGGGGCACUUACUGCGUUAGCUGCGGCACCGCAGGGGUCAACACCCGCGACACCUAGUACCCAUCGUUUACAGCGUGGACUAC